This 253-nucleotide ribosomal RNA is filed under the name uncultured bacterium. Its description in RNAcentral is "partial 16S ribosomal RNA". It matches the Rfam family "Bacterial small subunit ribosomal RNA", at positions 524 to 776 of the family's 1533-position model. The record is from RNAcentral.
UACGUAGGGGGCAAGCGUUAUCCGGAUUUACUGGGUGUAAAGGGAGCGUAGGUGGUAUGGCAAGUCAGAUGUGAAAGCCCGGGGCUCAACCCCGGGACUGCAUUUGAAACUGUCAGACUAGAGUGCAGGAGAGGUAAGUGGAAUUCCUAGUGUAGCGGUGAAAUGCGUAGAUAUUAGGAGGAACACCAGUGGCGAAGGCGGCUUACUGGACUGUAACUGACACUGAGGCUCGAAAGCGUGGGGAGCAAACAGG